AUGGAUUUGCUGCGAUACCAGGUCGGUGCCCCCUUGGAUCUUCAGUUUAGCUUGCGGCCAAGCGGAAGAGAGCUACUUGUCUACUGCCGGGACCUCAAGGCCGACGAAGGGAGACUAGACAUUUCCAACACCACAAGCUCCGAUGGCUUCAAAAUGUUCACCAUCAAUGUCGAGCGUCAUGGAGACCACUUCGCGGCCCUGCGGUCUCCUCACGAGCACAGAUCCAUGAUCUCAUCCUGUUUGCAGAAGGUCGUGAAAACCGCCAAAGCACACUUCGGCUCUGCGGUCAUGAUCUGUUCUGGCGAUGCCUGCGAAUACACUGGGUCUCUCAGGAUGAGGCUCCACGACAUGAUCCACGGCUUCUAUCUCAAAGUCUUCGCCAUGCUGCCCUCUACGUGGCUCCACCUCAUCCCCUACAUCCUAUUCGCUGGCCACUGCUAUGGCCCCAUGGACCCUGUCUCCAACAUCAUCAUCAACUCCAUUUGCCACCACAUACUGCGCCCGCUCCCAUCGUCAGCUGACUACAAAGUAGAGGUGUAUGACAUCCUCGACACCCUCUCUAUGCUUCGUGUGGAGGUCCGUUCCUUGGAAGGCCUCACUGCCCUCGUCCGAGCAAGCUCCGAGUCCCAAUGCUCGACGCAGCGGGCGAUGGAGCACCUCUCCUGCAAACGCUGUGACCUGUCCCAGGAGACGCACACCUCGCUGCAGUUUACUGACGCAGCCGCAGCCGCUCGACACCCACAACAUGCUGAGCUGGGAUCAUUCUUCGCUUCCCUGGCGCCUGACAGGCUCAUUGACCUGCGGCUCUUGCUGUCCACUAGCGCCGAUGGCAGGAUCUCCUUUGAGUCUCUUGGGGAAAUAAUAUCCACUCUCAAACAAAGUGCACUGCUGUUGGUGGCUCCCGUAUCUCCCAAUGCGGCUGAACUGUGCAACGAGGCUAAGGAGACUCUGCUACAAAAGAGGUCAUGUUAUAACGAGAUGAAGUUAUUCAUCCGCGCUGAGCUUGCGCAAGUGCUGAAGAAAUAUGCCUUUGAGCAUCCUCUGGAACCAAAAUAUGAGCCAAGUGUUAUCUGUGGUUUGGUGGCGGCUCCCAGAUCCCUAGACAGGCUUUCCUAUCAUGUUCAUUUUGUGGCUGCUUCUGAAUCUGAUAACCAACUCUUCUUUGCUGAAAUAAAUGAGCCAUUUCCUGACCCGCCAAAACCAAAUUUCUGCUGCCCUCUACCCCUGACAUCUACUGCCUGUUCCUCGCAUUUUAAUUCUACGCCAUUUUUCAUAUAUGAGAUUGAGAUGAUACAACAACUUAACGGCUAUGUAUACACCCAUUUUCGACAUGCUUGUGAAUCGGCCAUGAGAGACCAGUGUUUAUUUGGAAUAACUAGUUUAUGGUCCAAGGUUUUUGAGUCGCCGAGUCAAGCCAAGUCGCCGAGGCUGCGGCUAGUGGCUUGCUGGCUUGAGUCAGCGACUUGGCUUGAUUAG
RNAcentral lists this ribosomal RNA (1476 nucleotides) under Triticum aestivum (bread wheat). RNAcentral's name for it is "partial small subunit ribosomal RNA". Lineage: Eukaryota; Viridiplantae; Streptophyta; Magnoliopsida; Poales; Poaceae. The record is from RNAcentral.